This 845-nucleotide ribosomal RNA is filed under the name Pratylenchus thornei. Its description in RNAcentral is "SSU rRNA". It matches the Rfam family "Eukaryotic small subunit ribosomal RNA", at positions 50 to 902 of the family's 1831-position model. The record is from RNAcentral. Lineage: Eukaryota; Metazoa; Nematoda; Chromadorea; Rhabditida; Pratylenchidae.
CAUGCAUGUAUAAGUAUAAACGCUUUAAGCGUGAAACUGCGUACGGCUCAUUACAACAGCAAUAAUUUACUUGAUCUUGACAACCUACAUGGAUAACUGUGGUAAUUCUAGAGCUAAUACAUGCACCAAAGCUCCGACCCGCGAGGGGAGAGCGCAUUUAUUAGAACAAAACCAAGCGGCUUCGGCCGUCCAUUGUUGACUCAGAAUAACUAAGCUGAUCGUACGGUCUUGUACCGACGACGUGUCUUUCAAGUUUCUGCCUUAUCAACUUUCGAUGGUAGUGUAUCUGACUACCAUGGUGGUGACGGGUAACGGAGGAUAAGGGUUCGACUCCGGAGAAGGGGCCUGAGAAAUGGCCACUACGUCUAAGGAUGGCAGCAGGCGCGCAAAUUACCCACUCUCAAUGCGAGGAGGUAGUGACGAGAAAUAACGAGGCCGUUCUCUUUGAGGCCGGUCAUCGGAAUGGGUACAAUUUAAACCCUUUAACGAGUAUCUAUGAGAGGGCAAGUCUGGUGCCAGCAGCCGCGGUAAUUCCAGCUCUCAAAAUGCAUAGAAUUAUUGCUGCGGUUAAAAAGCUCGUAGUUGGAUCUGUGCCUGUGCUCCGGUCCACCUCGCGGUGCGCACUGGGUGUCACAGGCUUUCCUGCAGUGUUCAGCCCCGGCGCCUUCACCGGCACCGGUGUGCUGAUGCUGCAAGUUUACUUUGAACAAAUCGGAGUGCUCCAAACAGGCGUUUGCUUGAACGUUCGUGCAUGGAAUAAUAGAAGAGGAUUUCGGUUCAAUUUUAUUGGUUUUAUUGGCCGAGAUAAUGGUUAACAGAGACAAACGGGGGCAUUUGUAUUGCUG